Molecule: transfer RNA, 70 nt
Filed under: Balta dissecta
Lineage: Eukaryota; Metazoa; Arthropoda; Insecta; Blattodea; Pseudophyllodromiidae
Description: tRNA-Ile
Source: RNAcentral
AAUGAUGUGCCUGAAUAAAGGAUUACCAUGAUAAGGUAAAUAAUGUAAAACAACUAAUAUACCUUCAUUU